RNAcentral lists this ribosomal RNA (308 nucleotides) under uncultured Micavibrio sp. RNAcentral describes it as "bacterial SSU rRNA". It matches the Rfam family "Bacterial small subunit ribosomal RNA", at positions 147 to 490 of the family's 1533-position model. Lineage: Bacteria; Pseudomonadati; Bdellovibrionota; Bdellovibrionia; Bdellovibrionales; Pseudobdellovibrionaceae. The record is from RNAcentral.
CAGUUAGAAAUGACUGCUAAUACCGUAUAUGGCUUUGGCUGAAAGAUUUAUCGCCAAAGGAUGGGCCCGCGCUAGAUUAGUUUGUUGGUGGGGUAACGGCCUACCAAGACUACGAUCUAUAGCUGGUCUGAGAGGAUGAUCAGCCACACUGGGACUGAGACACGGCCCAGACUCCUACGGGAGGCAGCAGUGGGGAAUAUUGGACAAUGGAGGAAACUCUGAUCCAGCAAUGCCGCGUGAGUGAAGAAGGCCUUAGGGUUGUAAAGCUCUUUCAGAUGUGACGAUGAUGACGGUAACAUCAGAAGAAG